GACGAACGCUGGCGGCGUGCUUAACACAUGCAAGUCGAACGGAAAGGCCCUGCUUUUGUGGGGUGCUCGAGUGGCGAACGGGUGAGUAACACGUGAGUAACCUGCCCUUGACUUUGGGAUAACUUCAGGAAACUGGGGCUAAUACCGGAUAGGAGCUCCUGCUGCAUGGUGGGGGUUGGAAAGUUUCGGCGGUUGGGGAUGGACUCGCGGCUUAUCAGCUUGUUGGUGGGGUAGUGGCUUACCAAGGCUUUGACGGGUAGCCGGCCUGAGAGGGUGACCGGCCACAUUGGGACUGAGAUACGGCCCAGACUCCUACGGGAGGCAGCAGUGGGGAAUAUUGCACAAUGGGCGGAAGCCUGAUGCAGCAACGCAGCGUGCGGGAUGACGGCCAUCGGGUUGUAAACCGCUUUCGCCUGUGACGAAGCGUGAGUGACGGUAAUGGGUAAAGAAGCACCGGCUAACUACGUG
Molecule: ribosomal RNA, 468 nt
Filed under: uncultured bacterium
Lineage: Bacteria
Description: partial 16S ribosomal RNA
Rfam family: Bacterial small subunit ribosomal RNA
Source: RNAcentral